Molecule: unclassified non-coding RNA, 306 nt
Filed under: uncultured Pleosporales
Lineage: Eukaryota; Fungi; Ascomycota; Dothideomycetes; Pleosporales
Description: sequence contains ITS1
Rfam family: 5.8S ribosomal RNA (bases 1-105)
Source: RNAcentral
GAAAUGCGAUAAGUAGUGUGAAUUGCAGAAUUCAGUGAAUCAUCGAAUCUUUGAACGCACAUUGCGCCCUUUGGCAUUCCGAAGGGCAUACCUGUUCGAGCGUCAUUACACAUCUCAAGCUUCGGCUUGGUGUUGGGUGUUUGUCCCCCCGGGGACUCGCCUCAAAAGCAUCGGCGUUGGCGUGUUCGGCCUUGAGCGUAGCAUACUUUGCGCACAAGAGGCCCGGCGCGACGGCGGCCGCAACCCCAGGCACUGCGUGCCUUUUUGUUUGACCUCGGAUCAGGUAGGGAUACCCGCUGAACUUAA